CCCGACGUCCGGUGCGCUAUCGACUGUGCCGCAAAAGCAUGCUAUGUGCUUCGAAAGGACAGUGUAGCUAACAAAUUGUCAGCCAACAUAAUGUGUAAGGUAAUUUAUUGGGAAAGUCAUUACUUUAUUACAUGGAGGAAGGAGCAAGCUACCCCUCGGUCUGUGACGCCUCAUCAUUCUGCUCCUGAGUGGCUCACUUGUGAGCAGUGCUGGCAGGAUAUGGCAGCAACUUCGGUUGUGGGUCAAGAGUUCUGCAUACAGUAUCACGUUUGUAUGAAUGUGUGAUUAUUCACAGGCAAGUUGUUAUAUGCUAUGGAGGUACAUUUGUGUAUUUUUGUCGAGAGCAAAACGUUUUUUAUUUUCAAUCAAAAAUAAUUGUUCUGAAAGCAACUUUUUUCUGACACAAAUGAAGUCAAAGUGGACACCUAUGAAGAUGGCAUCUCAGAGAGCGAGCAGACCAAGGGGUCGAAAAUGUAGAUAUAGCCAGAUGUUCACUGUCCGAGGAACAGGCUGUGGAAGCUUUUUUGCUGGCAAAAGUGUCCAUAACCAGAGGUAAUUAAACUGUUCUUUUUUCUUUUCUCCAUCUCUGCCUGUCUUGUUGUACAUGGAACCUGUCUCACAUGCAUUCAUUUAAAAAUCCUUAAGAUGUCAGCUGCUAAUUUUCAGAUUUACACCACAUAAACACAGCCAUUUUCACUGGACUAUCUGUUGCUGCCAAGUCAUGAUUUCCCUGAGGGUAAGCCUUGCAAUAACCAAGUGGUGAGACACAUAGCCUUCUAUAUUUAAAUGUUUCAGGUACACUCUGAUAGGUGUCUGCGUCACAUACUGUAUCUUCUAUUGACAUUAUCUUCUAUUGUUUGUCCUCAUGUGUCUGUUUUUCAGUAUAAAGUACUCUGGAGCCACCUAUUGUGGACACCAGGUAUGUUUUGAUGUGAGAGACGAAGCCAGUUCCGUCAUCGCCACCUCACCCGUCAUCUUAAGAUAACCUUCUGGGCCAACUGGGGACCCAAGGCUGGUUAGGAGACACCGCAAUUGUGAUGAACUGGUAGCACUGUAAUUAGGGUAGCACUGUAAAUCAUGAAUCAUAUGCUGUCUGCCGCUGUUCUUACCUCUUUCCCUUUCUAUCAUCUACACCUCUCUCCCCACCUCGUCUU
This is a non-coding RNA of Oncorhynchus mykiss (rainbow trout), 1154 nucleotides long. NCBI's taxonomy places the organism in Eukaryota, Metazoa, Chordata, Actinopteri, Salmoniformes, Salmonidae. The record is from RefSeq and is a predicted model, not a curated record.